AACAACCUUGCUAGCACAUGGUUGAACCCAAUUUUCUCUUUGCACUUGAAUUACUUAUUUAAUAAGAUUGAUUUGAGUUAAUUAUCCACUAAUAAUCUAAAUAAAUUAGAUUCAUUGGGCUUCAAUUAUUGAAUGUCUAAGAUUUUGGAUCAAAUACAUUAAGGGUUCAAAGUCUUAAUCAAUUUUUUUGGUUGUUUGCAUGGGGUGCCACUUGAUUUGAUCAAGUUGGGCAUGCCCACUUAAAAGAGGAUGUGA
RNAcentral lists this long non-coding RNA (255 nucleotides) under Elaeis guineensis (African oil palm). RNAcentral describes it as "long non-coding RNA (EGUI_LNC046794)". Lineage: Eukaryota; Viridiplantae; Streptophyta; Magnoliopsida; Arecales; Arecaceae. The record is from RNAcentral.